GAGAAGAACCAGGGGAAAAAAAGGGAUUAAAGUUCUGUAAGACCAAGAUCACGCCGACGUGAGGACACCUACGCAUGUGAGACGAAGGGCAGAGCUUUAAAAGAGCAAGAAGGAAAGAUUUAAGUCACUCCAGUGAGUCCCAUUAUUAAAUAAAUAAAUCUUAAUUUUAUGGAAUUAAUCCGCAAAACUACUUCAACAGCAGAGAGUAUAUCUGUUACAGUAACAGAAAAGUUUGAUUAAAGGAGGAAAUGCACAUUAUCAGCCAUUCUCACGGGCUCUUAGGAGAAGUUUAGGAUUUGUUCCUCUUUCUUAAAAAUGAAAUCCAGUCAUUUUUUUUAAGAGUAAAACUCUUUUCUGCACAAAGUCUGAAUCAGAAUAAAAACUGCAAAGUCAGCAGAGGUGGAUUUAAGUGAAGAAUACAUGGUUAAGGUCAUGUGCAUUUCCCCCUCAGAAGCCAAUACAGGAACCAGUGUAGUUUUCAGGGUUAGUUUCUCUCCUCGAUGUGUUUCCACUGCAGAAACCACAGACACACCAGACUAAGGUAUUCACAAAUCUGUGCUUCGAGGAAGGCAGGACUUUCUGGAUGGACCCGAACUAGACAUGUCACUUCCUGUUGGGAGGAGGCUUAACGUUAACCACUGGCUGAAGGUAACCAGAAUUAAAUCCCAAUCAUUUCUCUCCCAAUUUAUUCUUUAUUCUUGUUUGCAAACACGUCAAAGUUCAGCCACCUGUGCUCAAUAUCACUGUGUUAGAUAUUGGCGUUUACAUUCAAGCGCAGGGUUAAAAUCUGCCAGUGUUUUUGUAAAUGAAUUGCUCAGAAGGAAGUGUGGACUUCUGCUUUCAGAUCAUCUGGAGAUUUUUAACUGGUCAAUUUAUAACAUAUCGCAGAGAUUGAUGUUCUCAGACACAGAUCACAAACUUUCUCCGAGUCAAAGUCUUAAUUCAGUUUAAGAGACUUGCCACCAUUAAACUGUCACAAUUUAUGCUUCCUAACAGCUGACUGUGAUCCUAAUCGGACCUCAGCCUUUCCUGAUCUCAGACCGCUUCGUUCUGCAAACACGUUUGUCCGCAGACAUCAGCGUUUCACUCACACUCAGUGUUCCCUCCCAUGAUGUAGAGUCCUUUGAGUUUGCCCGGCAGAGUCGGAUCCAUCCUCACAGCCAGAGCCAGGGUUCUCAUUAAUGAUCCGGACUAUGGCCGACACGGCGUUCUCCUCCUGGAUCAGGUCCAGACCGGGAGCGCCGGCGUCGGGGGCRUCUCCG
Long non-coding RNA from Poecilia reticulata (guppy), 1262 nucleotides. RefSeq lists it as uncharacterized. The record is from RefSeq and is a predicted model, not a curated record. Lineage: Eukaryota; Metazoa; Chordata; Actinopteri; Cyprinodontiformes; Poeciliidae.